UUGAUUCUCCAAUAAAUUAGUUAUAAAUAUUACUGAAAUUAGUUUCUUUUUUCGAUUUACAUUUUGUUGUUCCCAUUUUUUAUUUUAUUUUAUAUUAUAUUACUUUUUUCAGGAAUUUUUUUUGUAGUUCUUUUUGAUAUUCCUAUUUGCUGAGAUUUUGUUUUCCUUUUUCUACUUGCAUUUUCUUAUUUUAUGUUUUUCUAAAUUAUUUUAAUUAUUCUAUAAUGGACAAAGGCAUGCUAAUUGGUUUUUAGCAAUUUACAUUUGGGUUGGUCACACCCCAAAUUUCGUAAUAUGUUCCAUUUUAUUUGUUUUAAUUGAUUAAGUGACAAUAUUAUCCACACUUUAAAUGGUUUACUAACGAGGAAGCGUAGAUAUUUUGUCAUUUAAUCGAAUAAAAAACAUAGAAGGGAGUGAAUGUAAGAAAUUUGGACCUUGAACAUCAACACCUUUUUCAAUUUUGAUUUUCGCUUCUCUUCUUCCUUUUGUAAUU
RNAcentral lists this unclassified non-coding RNA (493 nucleotides) under Hevea brasiliensis (rubber tree). The record is from RNAcentral. Lineage: Eukaryota; Viridiplantae; Streptophyta; Magnoliopsida; Malpighiales; Euphorbiaceae.